Molecule: ribosomal RNA, 678 nt
Filed under: Auxenochlorella protothecoides
Lineage: Eukaryota; Viridiplantae; Chlorophyta; Trebouxiophyceae; Chlorellales; Chlorellaceae
Description: eukaryotic LSU rRNA
Rfam family: Eukaryotic large subunit ribosomal RNA
Source: RNAcentral
CUGUCAGCAUGGGUUGGGCGGGAGGGAAAACCCCUGGGCUCGACCCCCAGACCCGCCUCCUGCCCGACCGAGGAAUCAAGGGCGCCGCCGCUCCGUCGGUGGUUUUCUGAACACUGCGCCCUGAGGAUGCUGGCAGAAGGUGUCUAAUCGGCCCGUCUUGAAACACGGACCAAGGAGUCUAACAUGUAUGCGAGCUGGUGGGUUGCAAGCCCAUGAAGCGCAAGUAACCUGACUGGUGCCAAGGCCGGGCGUUGCCGCCCGGCCCGCAGCAUCGACCAACCUGGACGUUUCUACCAAGGGUUUGAGUACGAGCAUACCUGUUGGGACCCGAAAGAUGGUGAACUAUGCCUGAGCAGGGCGAAGCCAGAGGAAACUCUGGUGGAGGCUCGUAGAUGUGCUGACGUGCAAAUCGCUUUUCGGACUUGGGUAUAGGGGCGAAAGACUAAUCGAACCAUCUAGUAGCUGGUUCCCUCCGAAGUUUCCCCCAGGAUAGCUGGAGCUCAUGUAUGCAGUUGUAUCGGGUAAAGCGAAUGAUUAGAGGUACCGGGGGCGCAACGCCUCCGACCUAUUCUCAAACUUUAAAUAGGUACGAAGUCUGGGUUGCUUGACUGAACCCAGGCCCUCAAUGCGAGCUCCAAGUGGGCCAUUUUUGGUAAGCAGAACUGGCGAUGCGGGAUG